UGUUAAUAUUAAAUCUGCUAUGAAAUUCUCCAGCAACAGGUAUUAGCAGAGAAACACACCAACUCUAGGCCCUUUCCAGUACAGGUAACAGAACAGAUGAUCAUCAUUGGUCAGACGCAACAUCACGGCACAUCAUGUCGCAACCAUUCUUGCCGCACAUGCUCCGUAGAGACAAGAAUCUCCUUGGUGCACUUCUAGAUGGAACAAGGCCCCAUCUUCCAGCUCUCUGGAGUUGUACGCAUAUCAUGGAGGAGGCUGGUUGCACGAUCUGUGCACAGGAAUUCAAGAAGCAGCAGGUGACGGAUGCUUUGCCUUCCCUCGUGGAGACUGAAGGAAGAGGAGGGUCUGCACAGAUUCUGCAUCCCUGUCCUUAGGAUGACAUUCACCAAAAUCUGAUCCAGGAGUUGAGCAGAAACGGUGGAGGCAGGAGUGUGGAGGCUUCAAGACAAAUCUACCAGUAAUAAUCCAUGAAUGUGCGCGGCUAAAUUUAGCACUCAGCCCGCUCUCCCAGCGUGCGCGGGGAUGGAUUGGAUGAGAAAAGGGGCUGAGCGGGAUUGGCUGCGCGCACUCUGCUGUCUAACCUGAGGGCGAAACUGGGAGCCCCGGUCUCCGGGCUGGUGCGCAGCCUUCGCACCUUGAUGGAUAAAAAUAAAUAAAUAAAUAAAACAGAUGAGA
Long non-coding RNA from Oryzias latipes (Japanese medaka), 675 nucleotides. RefSeq lists it as uncharacterized. NCBI's taxonomy places the organism in Eukaryota, Metazoa, Chordata, Actinopteri, Beloniformes, Adrianichthyidae. The record is from RefSeq and is a predicted model, not a curated record.